Molecule: ribosomal RNA, 253 nt
Filed under: uncultured bacterium
Lineage: Bacteria
Description: partial 16S ribosomal RNA
Rfam family: Bacterial small subunit ribosomal RNA
Source: RNAcentral
UACGGGGGGGGCAAGCGUUGUUCGGAAUUACUGGGCGUAAAGGGCUCGUAGGCGGCCAACUAAGUCGGAUGUGAAAUCCCCAGGCUCAACUUGGGAACUGCAUCCGAUACUGGAUGGCUUGAAUCCGGGAGAGGGAUGCAGAAUUCCAGGUGUAGCGGUGAAAUGCGUAGAUAUCUGGAGGAAUACCGGUGGCGAAGGCGGCAUCCUGGACCGGCAUUGACGCUGAUGAGCGAAAGCGUGGGGAGCAAACGGG